This 20-nucleotide non-coding RNA is filed under the name Arabidopsis thaliana (thale cress). Lineage: Eukaryota; Viridiplantae; Streptophyta; Magnoliopsida; Brassicales; Brassicaceae. The record is from RNAcentral.
GUUGAUAUGGCCGAGUUGGU